Strigops habroptila (Kakapo) is the source of this 606-nucleotide long non-coding RNA. RefSeq lists it as uncharacterized. The record is from RefSeq and is a predicted model, not a curated record. NCBI's taxonomy places the organism in Eukaryota, Metazoa, Chordata, Aves, Psittaciformes, Psittacidae. The transcript is spliced from 3 exons.
AAUACGGACUGAACUGUGUGUCCCUGGAAUUACAUACAAGAGUCCUUCUGUGGGAACUUUGUUUAGUGCUUAUUUCACAGAAUGCGACCUAAUGCAGAGACAGUCUGAGCUUAAUUCCCUUUGUUUUGCUUGUUUUGCAGUGUGUGCAAGUGAAAAGCCUUCUCGGAUAAUUAAGACUGUGCCUGAAAUCACAGUUACAGUUUGCUGAUUGAAAGAUUAUAAAGGAAACUCAGGUCUAACGGACAGAGCCAUCCCCAGAGGACAGCUCAUGGCACAUCUCUCUGUUCCCUGCUCUGAGUCACCUUUUGCAGAAACCAGCUGCUCUCCAUUGAGUGCCCAGGAAGUCUAAGAGAAGCCUUUAAAGGCAAAUCACCUGAAUGCUCUCACAGGGUCAUCAGUAGUACUGCCUCCAGGACCUGCCAACUGCUCCUCUCCAGGAGAACUGAUGUCCUCACCCAGACUCAGCAUCAGCCAUACACCUAUCAGAACAUCUCACAGCACAGCUGGAAAAACCAGCCGUGCUGGCUGUGCUCACUGCUACUACCACUCCCCACCAGCUCGGAGCUACACCAGCGCACCACAACCAGGCUCGGACAGGGUAAUUAC